Pongo pygmaeus (Bornean orangutan) is the source of this 4417-nucleotide long non-coding RNA. RefSeq lists it as uncharacterized. NCBI's taxonomy places the organism in Eukaryota, Metazoa, Chordata, Mammalia, Primates, Hominidae. The transcript is spliced from 3 exons. The record is from RefSeq and is a predicted model, not a curated record.
AUUUAGAAUGAUCUAAUGAAAACAUGGACUCCCAUAUUCACAGCAGAGAAGUUUUUCACAUUGAACACAGACCAGAGAAGUGUUUCCACUAAUUUAUACUCCGAGAACAAUGGUUCCUGAGAGUGACAAUAUCUGAGGAAAGAGCAGGUCCUGCAACCAACGAGAAAUUCUCCUGCAGCAUUUCAAAGCAGUUUACAUGAGCACAAUUUGGAUGGAUGUGUUUUCAACCACACACCUGGCAAGUCACCACACAGCGCUGUGCAACUGAUAUCAUUUGAGAAGAAGAGGAUAACUGAGUUCCUGUUGGAAGAACAGCAAUUUGAAAGUACUGCUUAAAUGAACACAAGAUGGUGUCAGGAUUCCAAGUUUCUCAUUCUUUCUAGGGAGUUACCUAAGGUCUAAGUUUUAUCCUGAACAGAAUCUCUUGGGGAACUAAAAUGCUACCAAUGAAAAGCUCUUGAUACUCCUAUAUCAUGAAUAUUAUUGAGCUCUAAAACUUGAACUGGUCGUGUCAGGAGAACCUUGAACUGCUCAUGGCAGUUCUUGUGGACUGGGAGGAAGUACUACUGGAGAUCUUGGUGAUAGUGGCCAAAAGGAAAGGGUAUGAUUAUGAUUGCUGGGAAGCAGAUGGCUUCUGAAUAUGUUCAUCCAAAUCCUAAGCCAGAGACUGUGUUUAGUGCUUGUUCCUCCUGGGAAGGCUUAUGGUAAACAAAAAUACAGUUUAACAUGUUUAAUGUUUUGAAAUUCUGGAAGAAGAAUAGAAAUAUUCAUUUGUUCCUGGGUGUCCACAUGAGCAUGGAGGUAUUCUAAAGUGUAAGAAGUGACAGCAUAGGCAUGGUUAAAAUCUCAGAUUCUGACCUCAAGCUGGCUCCUCCCCUUACUAUCUUGAGCAUUAGCUCAAUAAACCUCAAUGCUUUGUCUAUAAAAUUGUGGUGACAAUUACAUUUAGUUAAAAGAUUAUAAAGUUUCGGCCGGACGCGGUGGCUCACGCCUGUAAUCCCAGCACUUUGGGAGGCCGUGGCGGGCAGAUCACGAGGUCAAGAGAUAGAGACCAUCCUAGCUAACACGGUGAAACCCCGUCUCUACUAAAAAUACAAAAAAUUAGCCGGGCGUGGUUGCAGGUGCCUGUAGUCCCAGCUACUUGGGAGGCUGAGGCAGGAGAAUGGCCUGAACCCGGGAGGCGGAGCUUGCAGUGAGCCGAGAUCGCGCCACUGCAUUCCAGCCUGGGCGAUAGGGCUAGACUCCGUCUCAAAAAAAAAAAAAAAAAAAAAGAUUAUAAGAUUUCAACGGGAUAAUACAUAUAAAAUGUUUAACUAGCACAGUGUCUUACACAUAGUAAAGUCUCACCAAAGUAACCAAAUAUAGUAGUACACCCUUAGCUAUGGCUUUGCUUUAGUGGUUUUAGUUACCUACAGUCAACCGCAGUCUGAAAAUAUUACAGUAUUUUGAGAGAGAGAGAGAGAAAAUGAGAGAGAAAGAGAGAGAGAGACAUUCACAUAGCAAUACACUGUUUUAUUUUAUUAUUAGUUAUUAUUGUUAAUCUCUUACUGUGACUGAUUUAUAAAUUAAACUGUAUAAUAGGUACGUAUGCAUAGGACUGAACAGUCUAUAUAGGUUUUGGUACUAUCCACAGUUUCAAGCAUCCAUUGGAGGUCUUGGAAUAUCUCCCAUGGAUAAGGUGGGCUACUGUAUUGGUUUAAGUUCCUCAGAUUUCCUGGACUACCUGACAUUAGGCUCUACAAUUCUCUCAUACAUGCUACUUCAAUCAGCAGCAUGCUUAGCACAUAGCAUGUGUUUAAUAAAAGUUAAAUCUAAAAUAAAAAUCAAGAUUUCCAGUUGAACUGAAGCUAGGGAAGCCUACACAUAUUUUGUGUGUUAGUUUGUUUGGAAACAUCGUCUCUACAGGGAGUAUCUGAUGACAUGGGAAUGCCAUGAUAGAGUCAGUCUGGUGGAGAAGAUAUCUAGACCUUCAUCAGUCCCAAAUCCACAUUAUCCAUGUAGGGCUGCUUUUGUAAGAUCAACAGAACCCAUGUCAUUGAUGUAAUGCUCAUUACUGCCAGCAUCCUUACUGUUUUUGAAUAUCUAUGUAAUAGUUGUUUUUCUUAUAUUAUUUCACUGAAUUCUUAAAAUGCCUUAAUGGAGAUGCUCUUAUUCCUAUGUUAACAAGAAAGCUGAGUCUCAGAAUGGUUCUAUAACUUGUUCAAUGUCACACACUAGUGAGUGAAAAAGCCAUGACUAGAAUGAGGGCCACAGAGAGCGGGACAAGCCUUUUUGCCAGGGAAGACAAGCUAAAUGUCUCCCUAGACAGGCAGCCCUGACAUCCUAUUGGGUCUUAUUGAUAUCCUGACUUGCUCUAGACUUGUCUGAAACCCUGGCUUAUCUGGCUUCAAAGCUUAUGAAGCUUCCACCAGACCAGAGGACCAUCAUUUGAGUAGUGAUGAAAUCUUCUCCAAAAAACAACAAAUGCGACAAAUUAUCAGGGACCUUAGAGACUCUCAACAUGAAUUCCAGUUUCAGAAAUUGUGUCUCAAAAAAGUAAAGUCUUAAUAAAUAUUAGGUUGGUGCAAAAGUAGUUGUGGUUGCCAUUAAAAGCAAUGGCAAAACAGCAAUUACUUUUCCACCAACCUAUAAAAAAAGACUGUGAUUCAUCACUAUAAUAGAAGGUAAAAUGUAUACUCAUGUUACCAUGGAAAUAAACAUCAUCAGUUUAAAAAUUCUCACAAAACUUGUGACUUCUCUACAGGACAGCAUGGUUGUGCAUCCUAAGUGGAACGUAAUUAUUUUUGUCAGAAAAUGAUCUUCGCAUACAUACCAAUCAUUCCUUGGGACAGGGUGGGGUUCAUCGGUUUUUGGAAAUGUUACUGUUUUCAAGUUAUAUAUAAAUACCCUAAAUUGUGUCUGAGUGUCCAGCAAAAUGAAGUAUUAUCUUUGAUGUGCUAUCAGUGAGCUACUGAGAAAGAAAAUAUGUUUCAACAAGAUUCAUUUAUUAGAUUAAGUGAAUAUAUUAACAUUCCAUGGGCAAAAUUACAGAAGACAUGGUUAGGAAUAAAAUUUCCUCAUCUCCUUGAUGACUUCGUCCCUCAGAUUAAGUCCUUAAUUUGCAGAGUUAGCAACAUUCUUAAUUCCUUGUACAAGAAAUUUUCCUGUGGAAAACAGUUUUACCUGUUUGUCUCCACACGUAUGUCUGAUCUUCGUGAUACAGUAUCAGGCAUCCCCUGACCUGUUGGUUUGUCAUCUUUUCCAUUUUAUCUUUUCAUCUAUUUUGCAAACUCAUCAAGAUGCCUUCCACUUUCCAGCUUCUCCAUUAUGUACCUAAGGGUUUUCCUUAAAUUUUUGUCCAACCUAAAAAAUAACAAUCACUAAAUGAUAGAACUCUAUAAUAACUAAAAGAUAGAAUGAUAUAAAUGAUUUCCAGCAUUCCUGUCGGAGUGAUAGAAAUCUCCUAGCCUACUUUGAAGCAAAUCAAAAGCAACUGUGAAGUUAAUUUAAUGAAAUUAUUCUCUCUUUUUGAGGCCCACUGUUGCAACUUUCCUUAUCUCCAAGCUAGUAGAAAAUGCUGUUGCUUUGUGGUCGUUUUCUUCAAAGGACUUAGGGAGGGAUCAUUUUCUCUAACCAGCUCAUCAAAUUCACAGAGGUCUACAGAAGUGAAGUGACGUGCCCAAGAGCUCACGGCAAGUAAAUAGUGUCUUAGUCUAAAUACAUCCAGAAUAAGUAUUCUUAGACCUUGUACUUAUCUCAUUGUCCUAUGCUCAGGCAAACGUUUGCGAACAGCAGGGAAAACAACUGCAGAUUGAGACUUGAGGGAGAGAAGGGUGGGAGAUGGUCCUUAGCAGAUCCCUGGGCCUGGGGAUCACCUGCUCGCUGGGAUCAAAACAGUGAAACAAGCUAUUCAUAAGUACAUCAAGGACGAGUGGGCCAUUGUUUUCAGAACCAGCUGUGGAGAAUCUGCUCAACAGUGGCCUUGGAACAGCUGCGGCUGCUGCACCAAGAAGGGAGGGCAGGAGGGCGGAGCGGUACUGGUGGAAGGGUGAGCUAGGAGGGAGGGCUGCAAGGACCCUGCCACGCCACCUCCCGGCAAACCAGGAAGUAUUUUUGCAGUAAGUGCAUUGGACUGAGCCACCUUUUGAACCUACCCGAAGUGUUAACAGCACACAGCAGGCCUUAGAUGGGAGCAAUAACUGCAAACUCUCAACGGGCUGGUGCCUAAGAGGCUACGGGCUGGCAGCUAAGUAGAGCCCGGCGCAGUGAGUCGGCGCUGUCCGAAAGUACACAGAGUGGAGCCAGCCGACUGUGCUGUCUUUGCAAACCGUGACCGAGCAAAGUCCAUGGUAAACAAGCCUCGCAGCAGCUGCCUCCGGAUGAGCGCCCCCUGCUCAUUCCUCCACCCAGCAUUUCCCACGCGCCCAGCGCUCCGCUC